UACCUCUCACCCCCUCUGUGUGCUUCCCAGCAGCAUGAAAGAGAAGGGAUAAAAGAAGGGAUAAGGAAAGGUUGAGCCUGCCUGACCUCAGCAUUUUCUUGUUCAGCUUUUCAUUUCCUGAUUUGGAAUCUUUACCUAAGACACCUUGAGGUUUAGUGCUGUUUCUUUGGGCAAGAAGCAAUUGGAAUUGAUUUGUCAAUUUUGUGAUGUGCUUUGCUUUUUUGGAAAAGGAUAGAAGAGUUUCCAGUCUGAAUUUGCAAAUCUAUUUUUAAGUCUUGCUGCAAAUAAAAUGAAAGAACUUAAAUUUCCCUCAGCUGUUGUCAGCAAUAAAGCUGGGGGGUGAUUUUUCCUCCUUUUGUACAAAUGAAAUGUUAUUUCUCCUUCUCUUCACACAUGUAUAUUUAUAUACAGAGUGAUAUAUCACCGGUUUCUCUCAAGAAAAAAGGAUAUGGCGGAAAUCUGAACAACUGAAGACUGACGAAAUACAGUGAGUCAGAGCAAACCUGACUCCUCUAAUUGCACUGGAUACAAGGACACAGUCCUUCCCCAAGGACUCUGCACAAGAGGACACAUUUGGUUUUUGCCUGCUAACAUUCCCUGAUACCACUUACCAAAACAAGAUACAGAAGCAGAAAUCACAGAAACCAACAAAAGCACAAAGGAAAUCUUUUAUGAAAGGCUCAUUAGAACAAAGGCUUGGUUAAAGUUGCAUACUUAGAUGGAUUAAGUCUGGACCACACUUUGCAGGCAAGCCUCCAGAUUCAGCUACAGAACCUGGAGGAGCCAAUUUAUCACUUCUUUCAUAAAUCAAAAGGCAAUUCCUACAAACAGUAAUGAUCAGUCCACUCAGGAUCAGACUCAGAAAAAUAAAACUGAACUUUCUACUGCCUCAUGAAGAUACCUUAAAAUAUGGCCUGUAAUUUUACCAUGCUUAGUUUGGGAUAUUUCAAAUACUUUAGGAGCUGGUCAGGGUAAGAGCAGCCUUAUUCUCUAAGCGUCAUCCAAGCCAGACAGGCACUGUGGGGCAGAGAAAGCCAGGAGGGUCCUGAGAGUGGGUCAGGUAUUCUCCCUUUUUAGAGGAGGGGUCUAAGGUACAUAGAUCAAGCCUAAAUACAUUCCAUUUAACUAAGGAAAAAGUCUAAUAUGAUCAUAUUUUACAAGAGCUUUGUAAAAGAUUUGUGAUAAGAAAAGGCAUGAGGAAGUUUCAUGCCUUUAAGUAGAAAUCAAAUAAACUGUUAAGAGGAAUAAGA
Non-coding RNA from Cyanistes caeruleus (blue tit), 1250 nucleotides. The record is from RefSeq and is a predicted model, not a curated record. Lineage: Eukaryota; Metazoa; Chordata; Aves; Passeriformes; Paridae.